CACAGCAGUCUUAAACAGUCAGUGUUUUGAAGAGUUUACAAAGAAUGCCUGCAAGUGACUUGGAAACUGUCCUUGCUGUUGCUUAGGGACAAUUUUCUGUUUGCAAGAAUGGACCAUCCUAAUCCUGUCUUUACUGCAUUAAGAACUGCAGACACUUAAUAAGGACUAUUCAUUCUCCAAGGAGAUCACAACCUGAAAUCCUGCUGAAAGACUGGUGCUACAACAGAGGACAAAGAGAGAGAAAAAGAGAUCCUGUGGGAAAUGGAAUCCAAAGACAGAUCAAAUGAAGGAAACAAAACUGAGUUUGAACCACACAUGGUGGUGCAUACAAGACUUGACUGUUCACUGCCUGCAGAAUGAUGGGCUUGAAGAGCAAAGCAUAUGCUGCUUGGGAGACUUUGACAGAGAGAAGGACAUAAAACAAAUGGAGUUCAUGAAUAUACAAUUUUUAUUGUACACAGUAGUGACAUCCAAACUUCACAGAAUAGGUGGGUGAGACUUAUGCUUUACUAUUGAGAUUAAUGGGUACGUAAAAAAGUGCCAACAGAGAGUACUACAGUUUAUGUUAAAAAUGUCGACGUGGAUAAGAAUAAUUUUCUUCUCAAGAUGAAUGAUACAUUUAAUGGCUGUGAGACAUUCAUGCCCAGUAGCAGUUCCUCAAAAGUAAUUUUUUGUUGUUAUUGUAAAUUAUAUAAUCUUAACUGCAAUUAUAGCCCUGUUUAGGUAAAGGUCAAGUUAGUACAGUGGAUGGUUAUAAACUAAGAGUGAAAUUGGUAAAUUUAUUCCCUUGAUGAAAGCCUAUGAAUGAUUUUAAGCAAGAUAAUUUUUUGUAACUCUAUUUCAACUUUAAUGUAAUAUAGCAAGUAAAGACAGCACACAUUAACAAAGGGUAAAUUAGAUUUGUCUAAGUAAACAUGUAUCUGCAAUAGGAAUAGUGUUGCUGUAGUAAGGACAGUCUGAAGGUUAAGCUCUCCAUGUAAAUGGUAUAGAUUCAUUUUUGUGGAAAGCAAAAGGAGGGACAACCUCUGAAAAAUUGCCUUUGAUGGAAUGCAAUCUGUCCUCUCCCGAGCAGCGCUCAAAUACUUUGUAACACGUGAAACUGUACCCACCUUUCAGUCACUAGAAAUUGGUUAGAGUCCUUUUGAUUUCAAAAGCUUUCCCUUAAAACAGUGCAAUUGUCUCUUCAACUGCUUCAGAUGGAAUAGAUUUGUUUUGUUAAUAAAGAGGUUAAAAAACAAGAUGGAGAAUAUUCUACAUAUGGUAAUGAAAGAUGUUUCCUAAAGAGUUUGGUGUUCAUUUUCUUUUCUUUUAAAGUAAAAAAUGGAUAUAGUAAUAAGUCUCAGAAAGCUGUUUACAAUGAGAAGAAAGAUUUCUCAAGACAAUGGCAGGGUUUUAUUCAGAAGGGACAGCAUGAACAUAACUAUUUCACCUUUUCACAGCUUUUGAAGUAAAGCACAAGCACUGUGAUACAUAGACAUAAUUGCUGUUUUAACUCUAAGAACUUCUGCCCGUGCGAUCAGUUCAUUGAAAAGUUUUCAGUACAUCUUAGAAUCUUCACUCUGUCAGACUACAGAGGUGUUACAUUUUUUUCCCUUUAUUUCUCUUCUGGAAAUGUACGUGUUAGGAAAUUAGAAGGAGGAAAUCCGCUUUCUGUUCCAUUAGAUGUCAAAGACCUUCAACUAAUAUAUGUAAUACACAUUCUAACAACUACAACAAAAGAAUAAACACAGUACCACUUGACAGAUGAACAGCAAAGGCUUGUUACUUAAGUUUGCCACCAAUUAAAAUGCACAUUGGAUCAGCUCUGGCCUGUCACCUGCAAUUAUUGGGAAAAGUUGGCUGUAGGCCACAUUAGAUGAAUGUGAUUUUUUCUGUUUGAUCAUAGUGCUUCUCAUCUCUGUUCUGGAAACUCUGCUUGCCUCAUUUCAGGUUUUCAAGAAUACCUAACUGAUUUUGUUACAAGUUUUUUAAUUGUAGUAAGGCGAAAAGACCUUCUGAUCCAUUCUGUAUAUGAUCCAUUCUGUAUAUGAAGAUACUACUUUAACCUCUCUGAAGCCAAUACAUCAUUUUUCUGUCAUGAUUUUCUUAGAUAUGCACUGAUUUGAACAAUGUCUCUCAAAUUUCAGUUUAACCACUUCCAUCUCUGGAUACUUUCAAUCUUCACAAGAAAAGGAAACUGGAAAUGUAAGGCUGAAAGGUAUGAAUUCAGCAAUGGCAACAGUGAGUUUCAUUUACUUUUAAAUGUGAACUUGAAUAUAUCCAAAGAAUGUUGCCCUACUGAAUAACAAAUAUGUGGCAUUACUAGUAUCUGGACAUGAAAGUCAGCUAUUGCUUCAGGCCUGAAACAAAGAUGAAAUCUGACCAUAAACAUAGUCUGAACAAAGUCUGAAAACAACUCGUAUGAAAGCUCACUUUCUUAAACUAUUUAGUACAAGGCUCUUCACAGCAGCAAGACCAGAGCUUGCUGACUGAUAAGUGGUAUCAAGAUUUAACAAAAUGAAGUGUAAAACAAAUUUAUUUAGAACUCAACUGGAAACUCAAUUUAGAACUUGGUAAAAUAUUUAGAUAAAACUUACUAAAGUGUUCAAUUUUUUGUCCUCUUUUAUGAAAGAGAACUUAAAACAUGCUGAGCUGCUGAGGACCCACAGUGCUUGCUAAUGUCACCUCUUUGACACUUGUUUUUUUCGUGGAGAUAAAUAGCAAUAAGAUGGAAGGCAUUAGAAAAUAAGGUCCAUCGUCAUUGCUCAUUAUUUGUAAUUUGUGGAGUGUGACAGUGUGUUCAGCAGAAUGAACAGCAGAAAUAGAGACAAUAUUUGCCCCUCAAGAGCUUGCAGUUUGACAUACAGAGGAUCAAAUGUAAGACAUAGAGUGACAGAUUUAGAAUAUUAUUGUUCUUUAUUUUGUUUUAUUAAUCACCUUACUGACAAAUUUUGGAAGGGUGAAAUUAUUGGAAGGAUGCAUGUAUGUUUAAAAACACCGUGUUGGAUAGUAUCUCUUUAGGAAGCAUUAUAAUGAUCAGGAGUUGCUAUCAGGAACCCUAAUACAGAAGAAAAACAUAUAUAAGUAUUCAAAGGCAAAUGUGGAGGCAGACUAGGAAACACCCCUGAAGCAUCACAUGAAAUUAGCAUUCUUGGUGGAAUGAAGUAAGCAAAAAGAUUUAGUAGAUGCAAAAUCCGUUUUGUAGACCUAUGCUGAACGAGGCAGCUUUGAAACUAAUGCAUAGUCAAAGGUUAUUAUGGAAUAAGGACUGAGGACUAAGGAAUUUUGAAUAGAAAGGGAUGUGGACUGAGUGGUUUCUACCACUUCAUAGAGCACAGGCAAGCCUCGCCAUAAUAAUAACACUUAAUAUUGUAAUGUUCUAUUCUUCUGCAGAUUAGCUAUCACUAUAACUAUUUUAAAAAACAAACAAGCAAACAAACAAAAUACCACAUGAAUUUAUAUUGUUUUUUCUCCACUCAGAUAUAUCAAUUCAUUGAAUACUGCACAUUUAUUGAAAAAAAUAAAAUCCAGCAAUACAAAGAUUGUGUCCACAGCUUUGUUGCAUCUUCUGAACAUUGGCUCUGACUGCAUCAAAGGCAAAUACAUGCAUGACAGCAGUCACAUGCCCAAACUAACACAUGCCUGUGCACAAUGAUAUGAUGUGAAAAUCAACUGGGAAUUGACAGUAUCAGCAACCUUUACUGUUUAGGAAAUUAAAAGAAACAUAAGUGUGGAGACAGUAUGUAAUAGCUCACUGCUUUGAACUAGAUCAGCUUGGGGAUAGUACUAAUUUACAUUCCUAACACUUACAUCGGGUUUUACUGUACUUCAGUGUUCAUAAAAAUGGCUAAUUAACUGAAACACCCCCAAUGUUGAUGGUAUACUGUAAAUGUCACCUCUGAAAUACAGAGCCCACUCUUGAGAUAACAUCUUCCUGAUGCCCCUGGAGCAUGGUCUUUUUGGAUGCAUUUGUUCCAGGGGAGCACACCAUUGUGGUUAACUCCAAAGAUCUGCCUCUCUUCCUCUGCUUGCCACCAUAAAAUUUCCAUGGGAAAAUUUGCAGAAGGCCCACAUAACAAUUUGUUUUACUUGCAUAGUAAUUAACAACUCAAACAGCAGCAAGGCAGCCGCCUAUUCCUCUUGGCUGAAUGUUAAGCUUGACCUCCCUUCCCCUUUCCCCUCAGUUCACAACUAUUCUCAUCUUCCAAAAUUAUGUGAGAAAUGAUUUUUCAUGCUAUUUGCAUGUUUUAGAGCAUCUAUCAUUAUCAUGUGCACUGACAGCUUUAUACUUCAGCUGUGACAGAGCUUGAAAAAUGCAAGUCCUAUCAAUCAACACAUUGUAGCUUUCCAAAAUAGGAUCUUCAGCAUCUGACAUUUUGUCUAUUUUUCUUUUCUUCUUUUCCUUUUCCUUUUUUUCUUUUUUUAUUUCCCUUUUUCUUCUUUUC
Meleagris gallopavo (turkey) is the source of this 4424-nucleotide non-coding RNA. The record is from RefSeq and is a predicted model, not a curated record. NCBI's taxonomy places the organism in Eukaryota, Metazoa, Chordata, Aves, Galliformes, Phasianidae.